GACGAACGCUGGCGGCGUGCUUAACACAUGCAAGUCGAACGGAAAGGCCCUGCUUUUGUGGGGUGCUCGAGUGGCGAACGGGUGAGUAACACGUGAGUAACCUGCCCUUGACUUUGGGAUAACUUCAGGAAACUGGGGCUAAUACCGGAUAGGAGCUCCUGCUGCAUGGUGGGGGUUGGAAAGUUUCGGCGGUUGGGGAUGGACUCGCGGCUUAUCAGCUUGUUGGUGGGGUAGUGGCUUACCAAGGCUUUGACGGGUAGCCGGCCUGAGAGGGUGACCGGGCAACAUGGGACUGGGGUUACGCCCCGGACUCUUCCGGGGGCAGGAGUGGGGGAUUAUGCACCAUGGGCCGAAGCCUUAUUCCGCAACCGCGGGUGCGGGAUGAAGGGCUUCGGGUUGUAAACCGCUUUCGCCUGUGACGAAGCGUGAGUGACGGUAAUGGGUAAAGAAGCACCGGCUAACUACGUG
RNAcentral lists this ribosomal RNA (468 nucleotides) under uncultured bacterium. Its description in RNAcentral is "partial 16S ribosomal RNA". It matches the Rfam family "Bacterial small subunit ribosomal RNA", at positions 28 to 507 of the family's 1533-position model. The record is from RNAcentral.